AGCUUUUCAGGUUUGCAAUGUGAAGUGAAGACCGCCAGGUCUCCAAGACUCCUUAGGCCUCCUGCAUUCCAGGAGGACUCCUGCAGUACCCAGCCUCAAACACUGAACAGCUCGAGUUUUCAGCUUCCCCCAGGAGAGACAGCCAUUCUUGGACUACUCUGGCAGUACCAUGUCAGCCAAUCGCAAUAACCAGUACUUCUAACACCAAGAAUACCUUUAAUGCCGCCACCCAGAAACUGAAAAAGCAGUCACCCAGCCGCUGGAUGCUACACACAGGAGACUUAAACAAGAGACCUUCCAGCUUUUGGACCCCCCCCCCCUUCACCCCACACUUGGCCGUGCACUGCAUUUUCUGUCUUCAGUAUCUUUAGAUGGGUGACUUAAAACUUAAUAUCUUUCUGGAUUUUCCAAACAGUCUCUGCGCUCUUCAGCAUCUGGGCCUCCUCUGUAGGGCUCAGCUUUACCUUUAUAAUAUCAGAUAUGCCAUUCUCUCCCAGGAUACAAGGCACACUGAGGAACACCUCUUCUUUGAUUCCGUAGAGACCCUGAAUUAUGGUGGUAACUGGAUGAGUUUUCCUGAGAUUCUUCAGAAUACUCUCUGCAAUAUCAGUUACAGACAGGCCAAUGGCCCAGGAAGUAUAACCUUUCAUUUUGAUAAUGUUAUAGGCACUGGCAAUGACUUCUUUGUGGACAUCGCCCCAUUUCUCGGGGUCUUUGUUUGUUCCUAUAGCUGAAUUCAGCUCUCGCAGAGGCACACCGGCGAUGUUCACACCACUCCACACAGGGACACUUGAGUCUCCAUGCUCUCCAAGGACCCACCCGUGGCAGCUUUCAGAGUGGAUCCCAAGCCUCUGUCCAAGCAUGUAACGGAAACGAGCUGUAUCUAGGUUACAGCCGCUUCCAAUAAUACGGUUUUUGGGAAACCCACUCAACUUCCAGGUUACAAAAGUUAAGAUAUCCACUGGAUUGGAAACAAUAAUAAUUUUGCAUCGAGGGCUGUGCUUGAUAAUUUCUGCAACCAUUGCCUUAAAGAUGGUUACGUUUCGCUGGACUAAAUUUAGGCGUGUCUCAUCUUUCUCUUGGCGUGCACCCGCUGUGAUAAUCACUACCUCAGAGUUGGCAGUGACAUGGAAAUCCUUGCUGCAAACAAUAUUUGGCAUUUUCAUGAAGACACUGCCAUGCUGGAGAUCCAUCGUCUCACCCUUCAUUUUUUCUUCAUUAUUAUCAACAAGGGCGAGCUCGUCAGUCAAGCCUUUUGCUAUGAUGCCGAUGGCACAGGCCAUACCGACUGAUCCAGUUCCUACAAUGGAGACCUUGCUGUGGAGAACGGGCUCUUCGGAGCUGGUGUGCUGGAUAAGUUCACUCUUCACGGUCGCCAUGGAAGAUGUGGGGGUGAGGCUCCACCAGGCCCGGUUGGGAGGGACACGCUUCACCUGACUGGGCCAUAGAGCUAUGCCAAAGUCCUUGAAAUCUACCCUGGCUGUAUUCACUCUUCUGCUGGCUCGCAAGAUUCUUGUAGCCCAGGCCAUGACUGCGCACUCAGGUGGAGGAAGUGAACAGCGUGAGGAAGACAGUUGAGGCCACAACGGCAGUUGCUAGGCAGUACAGACGCAGCCCUCCCUCCCACUGCGGCUGCGCAGUCCCCCAACUGUGCUGCGCAUGGGCUCAGCGCGCGCAGGCUGGGUUUUCUUGCUCCUCAACUGCAAGCCUGCACCGUGGCUUUAUAAAGGGCUUCCACCUCCAGCAAAGACAUACUGUAGUUUGUUUUACAAACCCAUAUUCUUUACUAUUGAUAUAUAAAGCCCAACCCAGAACCCUGGAACUAUCUGUUUGUUAUUCUUAGUGUACAAAGCAAGAAGAUUGGUCCUGGCAACUCCAGAUGAAAAUGAGGCUAAAACCUUGAACCACAACAAGGAGGGUUGUACUGUCUGCCAAGAGGCAGCUUGGCUGGAGAAAUGGGCUCUUGGUUCGGUAUAUCCAGCAGGAGAACCAUUUGUUUAUGAAGGAUUUUUAUCUGUAUUCUAACCAUGGUGCAUACCAGUGAAAGGCAGCAGGAAGGAAGGGCAAUCUGGUCUACACCGGAAGAGCACGGCCCUUCUUUCUCCUGCCAAAGGAAAGCCUGUGAUUGCAUCCAAAUUAAACAGCAAAAUAGCUCGGUGGUUAAGAGCACCUAGUGCCCCUGUAGAGGUUGGUUUCUCAGGACCCCCACAUCAGGUGGCUCACAAUUGUCUUUAGCUCCAACUUCUGAGACCGGAUAGCCUUUGUGGGCAUAUAGUUCACAUGGUAACAAAAAUUCCACGAUCUCACACACACAUUCACAUAAACAAAUUUAUAUAUAUAUAUAAAACCCCCACAAAAAUCAAAACAAUAAUCUUUCCCUAAGCUCUCCAAUUUCUUACGGAGAAAGAUGGCCCUUAACCCUCUAUAAUGACUUUUUAACGUUUAGCCAAUGUGUACAUUAGACUAUUACUGAAGUAGUGAAAUAAAGUUACCUUUCAAACCUG
This 2504-nucleotide long non-coding RNA is filed under the name Mus pahari (shrew mouse). Its description in RNAcentral is "lncRNA (MGP_PahariEiJ_G0003074.1)". Lineage: Eukaryota; Metazoa; Chordata; Mammalia; Rodentia; Muridae. The record is from RNAcentral.